Pipra filicauda (Wire-tailed manakin) is the source of this 482-nucleotide long non-coding RNA. RefSeq lists it as uncharacterized. NCBI's taxonomy places the organism in Eukaryota, Metazoa, Chordata, Aves, Passeriformes, Pipridae. The transcript has 3 exons. The record is from RefSeq and is a predicted model, not a curated record.
UUACACCUUGGCUUGCCCUGGCAGCAAGGCAUCCAAGGAUAUCCUACCACACCCAGGUCUGCAGCAGAGGAGCCAGACAAACUGGUUACACAGGCUUGGUUAGGUGGUCUUGAAUCCAUUGCAAAAAAAAAUGUGCCAAACCAGUUUAUAGGAAGAUCUCCAUGUGCCAGGAUGCCUACUAAGAAGAUGCGUCACCCUGGGGGGAGACAGGGGUGUGGUGAAGGAAUUGUACUACUUCAGUAAUCAGACCUAAAUAAAACAGCCUAAAACUGACUCACGAAGCUGGAAGAGGAGACGAAGCAGCAAAUUGCUGCGGGAACUUACGUCACCAAGCGCUUGGGCUGAGCACCCAGAGCUGGUUUCAUUUCACUGGAACCAUCACACUGAAACUACUGUUCUGUCCCUGUGCAGAGCAGUGGCUGGAUGUCCGUUCCUGAGACUGGAAACAAGCAGAUAGCAACAGCAAGUGGAAGAUAAAAUGA